Molecule: long non-coding RNA, 524 nt
Organism: Armigeres subalbatus
Lineage: Eukaryota; Metazoa; Arthropoda; Insecta; Diptera; Culicidae
Exons: 2
Source: RefSeq, a predicted model, not a curated record
UUUAAUCUCGGAUUUUCUGUUAAUAUGCCGAUUUCGACGUAUUAAGAUAAUCCGAGAUUUUCAAAUACACAGCCAAAUCAAAAAUUGCCCUCACACACACAUAUGCACGUCCAGCAAAUGUCAUAUUUUUCAGUUUGUUUUGUUUCCAACUCCGGCUUCCUCAAUCAACUCAAGUGAUAAAUUUGAAUAUUUUUAAAUAAUCAACCUUUAUUAUAAUAUAGUAAAAAAUGGUCUUAAUCAGUGAACUUGAACACAUAGCUAGGAGGCGUUUUUUUUCGGAAACAACAGCAGUAAUCAGAAACAGCAGGAACGUAUGCGGUGCUGCAGGACUAGGAUUAUAACUGGUGCUGCUGGUGUUAUCCUGGGUUUACCUCAAUGAUAAAUGGUUCAACGGUUGAACCAUGCUGCUUAACAUGUUGUGUGAUGUGAAACUUGUUGAUUGAGUGAUAAAUGUUAUUGUAAUUUUAAUGAUCAACGGUAAAUGUAGUUUCAAAAGCAUGAAUAUAAAAUAAUCCUUAUCAGAA